RNAcentral lists this ribosomal RNA (250 nucleotides) under uncultured bacterium. RNAcentral's name for it is "partial 16S ribosomal RNA". It matches the Rfam family "Bacterial small subunit ribosomal RNA", at positions 36 to 278 of the family's 1533-position model. The record is from RNAcentral.
GAUCCUGGCGUCAGGCCUAACACAUGCAAGUCGAACGGUAACAGGAAGCAGCUUGCUGUUUCGCUGACGAGUGGCGGACGGGUGAGUAAUGUCUGGGAAACUGCCUGAUGGAGGGGGAUAACUACUGGAAACGGUAGCUAAUACCGCAUAACGUCGCAAGACCAAAGAGGGGGACCCUCGGGCCUCUUGCCAUCGGAUGUGCCCAGAUGGGAUUAGCUUGUUGGUGGGGUAACGGCUCACCAAGGCGACG